ACACCUCAACUCUCAUGGAUUGCCAUGAUGAGCUUGGACUUUGGGGGUCUUGCUGGCUUGCUGCUGGCUCCUCUCAAAUGAAUCAGCCUGCCAGUGUUUGGUGGCAUCACAGGUGUGAUAACUAUCUACGCUUGUGGUUUUCCACCAGGUAACCUUCAGUGAUGGAGGUUCGCUGGGGCUCAUAAAUGUCUCUCCUCAGUGAGGACAGCUCUUUGAAC
RNAcentral lists this unclassified non-coding RNA (218 nucleotides) under uncultured Tomentella. Its description in RNAcentral is "sequence contains ITS2". The record is from RNAcentral. Lineage: Eukaryota; Fungi; Basidiomycota; Agaricomycetes; Thelephorales; Thelephoraceae.